UCCUUGGUGGCUUACAUAGUAAAGCACCUGCCUGCAAUGCAGGAGACCUGGGUUCAAUCCCUGGGUUGGGAA
Non-coding RNA from Bos taurus (domestic cattle), 72 nucleotides. The record is from Rfam. Lineage: Eukaryota; Metazoa; Chordata; Mammalia; Artiodactyla; Bovidae.